UUACGGCCAUAUCAUGUUGAAACACUGGUUCUCAUACAAUCACCAAAGUUAAGCAACAACAAGCCUGGUCAGUACCUAGAUGGAUGACCACUUGGAAAUGUCAGGUGCUGUAAG
RNAcentral lists this ribosomal RNA (114 nucleotides) under Acanthosepion pharaonis. Lineage: Eukaryota; Metazoa; Mollusca; Cephalopoda; Sepiida; Sepiidae. The record is from RNAcentral.